AACAACAACAAUAAUUAACCAAAAAGAAUAUAAAUGUUCAAUAAUAAAACAAUAUCAACAAUACAAAUAUCAUUCAAAACAAUUCCAACUAAGUAUAUUCACAAUUCCAAGACUUUGUUUGGCAAUAUACACCAUUCAAGGAGUGUUUUGUGCGGCAUCAUCUCUUCUACCAGAAGCUUCAUCGUCGGAAUGGUUUGAAGGAUCAUCAUAAAAAGGAGUAGCAUCUGUGGAAGACUUACAAGACCGGGGAAUCGGAAAAGCCCUACUAAUAAGAAGAUUGACCAGCUGACUUUGAAAGGUAUUAAAUUAUUGAUCUCUCUUUUCUAACUAACCUUGAAGGCUAUUAAAUAUUCAUCUCUCUAUUCUUCUAUAGCCUUUGUCCCUUCAAGCUUUGUUGACGGCUUUGCGAUCUUCUUCUCCAUAGUCAAGAGAGCCGAUCAGUCAAGUGCCUCUCCCUGCCGGGAAGUCCCUAUACCUUGCAAUCCAAUUCUUUAGCGCCGAAAUGAUCACUCUGGAAUGCAGUAUGCUAUCCCAUUUUUAGGACAACCGAUAAAAUCUAACCAAUUCUUCUGUGCUUCUUCGUUUGAAGUAGAAGGUGGGUCGCACUGCUUAUUCAGUGGUUAGCUUUGACUGUACUCCUGUAGAGUAGUCUUAUAUCGGCCAUUUAUUUAGAAGAUAAAAAAUUAUUAAUUGUAUAAUAUUAUGAACAUUAAUUUUAAUUUAUAGUUAUGAAACUUACAUUGGUAGUUUCCGCCCGGUCCUCAACCCGUCAGCUUGAAUCCGUCGGUGUCUUCUUCUUCUGGAUGUUAGUCUCCAUGAAGAUUUAAAUAAUUUACAUACCUCCAUUAGUGCAUAAUCAAUAUUAGUUACAUUGUAGUUAACUUUAAUUAUAAUAUAGUUAAUCUUAGUCACAAUUUAGUUCAAAGAACAUAUUUAGUCACAUAUAUCCUAAAUAGAGAAAAUUCCUAUAAGAUUACAUUAAAUUAUACUAUGAAAAUUAUAAAGCUAAUAAGGUAGAUUACAAAUCUUGAAAGAGAAUAACAUUAAUGGCAACAUGAGGGGACUAACAGUGGUGGUGGCUAUGCGGAGAAUGCCAGUGGACGGUGGGGCGCAGAUAAACAAUGGUGGAUGGCUGGGGAGCGGAGCACCAAUGGUGGAGGAGGGCUUCGAUUUUGGGGGUGAGUGACCUUAUUUUGAGUGGGGUUUGGCCGAAAAUCUGUGAGGAAGAAAGAUGGAAGAUAGAGGGGGAAAAGAGGAAAAUAUGGAAGAAACAUGUCUGGGGUUAUCUAAUUAUUACAUUACCGACUAACUUCGUUGUAAUAUUAAAAAAGUUUGACCUCAUAAAUAUCGACCGAAUUCGGAUGAAAACUAAGUUUAUAAAAUUUUAAAUAAUAUUUUUUAUUAAAAAAUUAUCAAUAUAUUUCAAAAUUUAUACCAUAUAAUUUUUUUGUUAUUUUCAUUUUGCACACUUAAUAUAUACUGUCUUUCUUAAUUUGUACCUUAAUCAAUUGUUUUUAAUGAACUUACACCGAUAUCAGCCGAUUUUUUGUUUAAAUAUUGGAACAAAAUGAUAUAUAAUAUUAUACAUAUGACAGCAUCUUAAGUUUUACCAUAUCAUUAUAUCAAUGAUACACUUUAUAAUCUAUUUACUAAGAUACUAAGUAUUUCAUAGCAUGUUGGAUAUACAACAACUAUAUUAAUUAAACUAAAUCAUUAUAUAUAUAUAUAUAUAUAUAUACGCGAUCGCAAAACCAACAUGCGAGCUACAGAGUGAACUGCAAAUCAACCAUGAAGGUCACUGAAGGACGAAUAUGCGAUGCAAAAUGUGAUCACAUUUCUGAAUUGCGAUCCACAUAAUUGGAAUGUAAAUAAGACUUCUAAACUAGGGUUCCAGUCUGCGAUGAGGAUGCUCAAGAUUCGGACCGCAUACGUGCUCUGCGAUAAGAAUGUUAUCGCAUAUCAGACCUGAAUAGGCAAUUUUUUGUUUGUUUUCUGUCCCGACUUUGAGUCCACUAUAAAUAGUUUUAUGAUGUCAUUGUGGGCUCAUCUUGUCUAGUCUUUGAACUACAUUUCAAGACAUUAAUAUUCCUCACUUUUGGAAGCUUUUGGGUAAAGAUUCUCUACUUUGUAAGCUUUUAUGACAUUAAAUACUCUUUGAUUUUCGUAUUGUAGUAUGAGUAGCUAACUUUAAAUACUAAGGUUGUGAACCCUAAAUGGGUAUAUAUAUAUAUAUAUAUAUAUAUAUAUAAUGUUUAUCAUCUACGUGCUUGCUUUUGUAUCUAUUACAUUUCAUAUUGUUACAACCCAUAUUCACGUACGUUAGUUCAUACCGUACAUUAGUUGACGCAAUCCGAGAAGAGAAUAUCUUUGAGAUGAUAAUAAGUUAAUCCUCUUGGUCUUAAAUGAUAUAUGGGUGUAUAAGGGUGGUUAACAAGUAUUAGAAGUUAAACGAAUCAAGGAUGUUGCAACCCAUAUUUUUGGGUAAACCUACAAUAAAAACCCAGUGAAAUCUCACUAGUGGGGUUUGGAGAGGGUAGUGAGUACGCAGACCUUACCCCUAUCCUGAAGGGAAAGAGAGGUUGUUUCUGAAAGACCCUCGGCUCAAGAGAACAAAAAGUCAAAGGUAGACAAUGUUAGUAUCACCACAUAAAUCAUAAGAAAAUCAUAAGAAAAUAGGAACAACAUGAAAUCCGGAAGAAAGAUGCAAAGCAAAACCGAUAGGUAGUAAAUGGGUCCUGCACUGAAAAUACAGCAUUAACACUAGCUAUCUUAGACAAAAACCAUACCUGACUAGUCUCACAGAGGUAUUAGUAAGGCAAGACUCAACUACCUCCUAACUUAAAACCUUAAUGCUCGACGUCCACAACUUCCUAUCAAGUGUCAUGUCCUCGAAAAUCUAAAGGCUUGCCAUAUCAUAUUUGAUCACCUCUCCCCAAUACUUGUUAGGCCGAUCUCUACCUCCUAUCAUUCCAUCCACAACUAGCCGCUCACACCUCCUUACUGGAGCAUCUGGUAUUCUCCUAUGAACAUGCCCGAUACAUCUGAGUCUUGCUUCCCGCAUCUUGUCAUCAAUUAGAGCUACGUGCACCUUCUCCCGGAUAUCACCAUUCCUAAUCUUAUCCAUCCUAGUGUGCCUGCACAUCCACCUUAACAUUCUCAUUUCUGCUACAUUCAUGUUCUUGAUAUGUGAGUUCUUAACAGGCUAACACUCAGCCCCAUAUAUCACUUUCGGUCUUACCACCGCUUUAUAGAACUUAUUUUGAGAAUCGAUCGCACUCUCUUAUCACACAGGACUGUAGACGCUAACCUACACUUCAUCCAUCCUACCCCAAUAUCAUGCGUGACAUCCUCGUUGAUCUCCCCCUCCCCUCCUGGAUAACCGACCUAAGGUACUUGAAGCUGCCUCUACUUGGGAUGACCUGUGAUCCAAGCCUCACAUCCAUGCCCAUUUUCCCUGGCUCAGAACUAAACUUACACUCCAGGUAUUCCAUCUUCAUCCUACUCAGCUUGACUCUUAGACUCAAGUUUAUGUCUCCAAGCCUCCAGCCUCUUGUUAAGUCCGGCUCACGACUUAUUAAUCAGAACUAUGUCAUCAACGAAUAGCAUACACCAUGGCACCUCCCCUUGAAUAUGGUGCGCAACGUGUCCAUCACUAAUGCGAAUAAGAACGGACUGAGGGAAGAACCUUGAUGUAACCCCAUUAUGACCGAAAAAUGGUCAGAGUCUCCUCCUGCUGUCCCAACUCCAAUUCUUAGCCCUAUUGAACAUAUCCUUCAUCGCCAUAAUGUACGGGACAGACUCUCCUUUUGCCACCAAGCAUCUCCAGAGAACUUCUCUAGGAACCUUGUCAUACGCUUUCUCUAGGUCAAUAAAAAGCAUGUGCACAUCCUUGUUCCUCUCUCUAUACAAUUCUACCAACCUCUGGACAAGGUGUAUAGCUUCUGUAGUAGAACGGCCUAGCAUGAAUCUGAACUGGUUUUCCGAUAUAGACAUUGACAUCUUCACCCUCGCUUCAACAACCCUCUACCACACUUUCAUGGUAUGACUUAGUAAUUUAAUAUCCCCUAUGGUUGUUACAACUCUGGAUAUCACCUUUGUUCUUAUACAAUGAAACUACCGUAUUCCACCUUCACUUCUCCGGCAUCCUUUUUGCCUAAAAAAUAACAUUAAACAAUCCAUUCAACCACUCCAAUCUUUCUCUCCCCAUACCAUUCCAAAAUUUCACCAGAAUUUUGUCUGGCUCGGUCUCUCAACCCAUACUCAUCCUAUGCAUAGCUCCUACGACCUUCUCAAUCUUGAUACACCCGCAGUGCCCAAAGUCGCAGUGACUCUCGGAUUAUUCCAAUUAGCCUAACACAUAGACGUUCAUGAAAGUAAGUCUUCCAUCUAAUCUUAUUCUGCGUAUCCUCCAUCAAUACUCUACCAUCUCCAUUAUUGAUGUAUCUCACUUGAUCCAAAUACUUAGACUUCCUCUUCUCAACUUGACAGCCGGAAUAACAUCUUCUCGCUGCCUUUCCUUGUACAUACAACCAUACGACGCAGUCUUAGCCACUGUAAUCGCCAUCUUUGCUUCCAUCAUAUAUACCCUAUUCAUCUACAUGCAGUCUCGCCUCUCCUCCUCAGCUAUGCUCCCCACUAACUUCAGGUACGCCGCCUUUUGGACCACUUCAUUUCACCACCAUUCUCCUUUGUGCCCGCCAGAGAUGCCUAUCGAUACCCUUAACACCUCUCUCACGGUAUAACUUAUGCAUUUGAAUGUCGCUGACCACGUAGUUCUCGUGUCACCAAUACUCCUCCAAGCUCCUACAACUGACAGCCUCCCCUCCAACUCAUGGGUUUUAUCCUUAGUUAAGGCUCCCCACCUGAUUCUCAGUCUUCCUCGAGAUUUUUAGGUAAACCUAGAGGUGCUUAAUGUACUCAAGAGCCGUGUUUUAAGGUAUUUGAAUCAUGUAAUAUCUGUAUCAUAAGUCUUCAAGUAAAAUGAGUUAUGAAACGUACAAAAGUUGACAAACGUUGUCACAACUUACGUUCAUAAUUUAAUUUAAACUUUAGGUAAAAUAUUACCAAGAUUUUCUCCUAAUUUAUUUAGAAUUAUAGGGUGAUAUAUCACCAAAUUCAAGAUAUGUGAUUCUACUUUCCAAUGCAUUUAACCGUUCAUCAAUAUGAUAUCAUAGCAGAGAGAUAUUUGCGUUUUUGCAAACUACACCAAACAACUCUAUGGGGCCAUGUAAGCGGUUUAAGACAUAUGGAUAGAUAUAAUAUGACUCAACCUCGUUUUAUCUCAUUAUUUUUUGGUUUCUUAGAACCCUAAAAAUAUUCUCUCAAGUUUUUCUCACGAUCCAAGACCCAAACAAAGGGCAAACAACACAAAUCAAGUGUCGGGAAUCCUUUGGCGCUAGUACUUCUUGUUCUUCUUAUAGUUGCUCAUUUUUGUGUUGUUCCAGCUCAUAUGGAAGGUUGUUUUAAGGGUUUAUGUUCUAUAAAUACUCCCUCAAGUUUUUAAUAUCAACCCUAGGUGAUAUCAAGUCUUUUAAAGUGAUUCUAGUGCCAAAAAACCCUAAUUGAUUGCUAGUUUUGCUUCCUUGUUCUUGUGGCAGCAUUGGAGGGAUAUUUCGUGGAAAUUUAAGGUAAAAUUGGAGUUUUUCUUUCUGUAUGAAAGAAAGUAAAAUCUUAUUCUACAUGUAUUAAGAUUAUCUAAGUUGCGGCUAAGUCAUUGAAGCUAGAACUUGUGAAAUAUAUAUCGAAAGGCUUGGUAGUAAUGUUUUUUGUUGGUAGAUUGUUUUGGGAGGCUCAAUAUGAUUAUUAUUGAUGUUGUUUUGUAUUUUGGGUGAUUGUUUUGACUUGUGGGAAGUCAUAUAUAGGUUCUGGUCGAUAUAUUAUAGUUACAACACUUAAACGAUAACGAUAGUAUCAUUUCUCUUAUUGUAGACUAAGGAGUCAUGACAUUUGCAUAGCUUGAGGUUGGGCAGUAUACACAUGGUAUGUGAGGCAAUACCUUUUCUUUUUUUGCAUGACUCCGAUUGUACAAAAUAUAAUAAACGAGCUUCCAAAGAUACCUGACUCUUAGAAUCUAGCAAUACUUGCAUUUGUUUCCCUUCUUAUGGAACGAUUGAUAUUGAUGUUGCUUCUUUUAUUCGUAUGUUAUCAUUGUUGUUGGUACUUCCUAAUUCUUAUAAGAUUUCAUGAUGAUGAGUUAGUCCUAAUAAUGUGUUUGGAGAAUACCGACCAUACGUCACUUCGAAGUUCAGCAUGUGAUUCUAUUGAGUCCGGCAUGCAUUAUAUAUGUGUACCUAUUUUACUCUACUGAGUGGUGCUAUACUCGACCGGCUACGGCACCUAUUAUGCAACCACUGAUCAGUUGGGUUUUACCGAGCUCAACGUGGCCAGGUCUGAUUCUACCGAGUCUUAUAAUGGCCGGUUACAUGUUUACCAAGCCUAUUACGGCCGGGUCGAUAUGAUGAUGAUGCCCAUAGAGGCAUAUGUUUUAAACGUUUAUGCAUAUAUAUGUAUCAUGCAUUUCAUGUCAGUAGACCUCAGAGGUUCCCAGGUGUUACAGGUUGUAUAUUCUCUACCCCCGUUUACAUUAUUGUUCGUACUUAUGCUUUCUUACCUUACAUACUCAGUAUUUUAUUCGUGUUGAAAUCUUUUUUAUUUGUGGACGCUUCAUGUUGUGUUGUAAGUCUUGAUAGACACGUAGACACAGAUCCCCCACCACAGUAGGCUGCCCAGUUCAGCGGUUAUUGGCGAGAUCCCUUCUCCGAACUUUCCAUAGUCUCGGUAUGAGUUUUUCUUAUAGACAUUAUGGGUAUGUAGGGGACUUGAUCUAGUAAUGUUGCAGCACUUAUGUUCCUUUUGAGGUGUAUAGAUAGGUUCUGUAUCAUGUGUGGUUUGGAAUGCCUUAUCGACUAAUUUUUGUCAUAUAGUCUUUGACGGCAGUGGUGUAGCUCGUACCUUAUCUAUAGUUUCUUGACAAUCUUAUCAUCCCAUGUAUGUAUGUUCAUGCCAAUUAUCUUUCAUUGUUGGUUGUUCAUGAUCCACGUCUACCAUUUAUAUUGAUCUCGUCAGCCCUUAAUGAUAAUAAGGAAGGUUAGAUAAAAUAUACAUUGGUGAUCAGCAAGUACAUCCCGGGUGCUAGUCAUAACCCUCAAGUUUUGGUCAUAACAAACUUGGUAUCCGAGCAAGUCAUUCCAAAGGGUUGUCUAUGAGCCGUAUCUAGUAGAUUCUUGGAUGUGCAACGCACCACAUUUAUAAUUAGGAGGCUAUAUGACAUCUACGGUUGUUACCUUUUCCCGAAUCUAGAUUGUGCGUAGAGUUAAGUCGUAGGCGUUCCUCUCUAACAUUCACCUUAUUUUUUUCAGCAAUGCCCUCGACUAGGAAGCAAGAGAUUAGUAGAAGACUUGAUAUAGCUACCGCAGAGGGUACUAGUCAGGUGCCUCCAGCUAGAGUAGGCCAAAAUAAGGCUAAAUGAUAUGUACGACUUUAUAAUCAUGAGGCUACAUGACAUCUACGAUUGUUACCUUCUUCCUAAAUCUACAUCGUGUGUAGAAUUGAGUCGUAAGUGUUCGUCUCUAAUAUUCACCUUGUUUUCUUUCAGCGAUGCCUUCAACUAGCAAGCAAGCGAUUAGUAGACGUCAUGAUAUAGCUGCGACAAAAGGUGGCAGUCAGGUGCCUCCAGCCAGAUCAGGCCAAAAUGAGGCUCAGAGUGAGAUGUCGUCUCAUACAUCAUUUACUCCAUCUCCUAUAGAGGAUAUUAAGAGGCACCCAGCACCUCCAGUUCCUCUAUCUAGCACCACAGACCAGCAUAUGUUGAGUGCUUUGCAGUUGUUGACUAGCUUUGCAGAGGGCGAUAUUUGUUUGGUAUUCUGAUGACUUUAUAGGCAGUAUCAGACCCCAUCCUUCGAAGAGUUUGACUCCACUUGUAGCUAGUGCUCCUCCACAGCAUUAGAGGCCUUGGUAUGAUCAAUUUACCUAUUUUGAUCCAGGUCAGAGUUCACAGGUAACAUCUUCGCAAUAUUAUAGGGAUACUAGUCAGACGAGACCCACAACACUUUGUUGUGAUUAAUGCAGCAAGGCCCACUUUGGACUGUGCCGUCGAGGUUUUGAUACGUGCUAUUCUUGCGGACAGCAUUGCCACAUGAUGUGAGAUUGUACUAACAGAGGAGGUGGUGGUAUGGCUCAGCCUACUGGAUAUGUUUCCGGUUCUCCCUCAUCAUUUCGACCUCCAGCACGAGGUUUUUAGUAGUCGAUAGGACGUGGUAGAGGUAGAGGUGCAGUGCCGAGUUCAAGUGGUAUUCAAAAUCGAACCUAUGCCCUAGUAGGUCAACAAGAUCUCGAGUUAUCUCGAGAUGUUGUUAUUGGUAUGUUGUCUGCGUUUUCUUAUGAUCUAUAUGCGCUGAUUGAUCCAGGAUCUACAUUAUCAUAUGCUACACCAUUUGUGGCUAGUAAGUUUGGCGUUGAAUUGGAAUUUAUAUGUAAACCACUUGCAGUAUCUAUUUAAAUAGGAGAUUUUGCGAUUACUAUAAGGGUAUAUAAAGGAUGUAUUCUGAUGAUUUGUUGUUGUCAAACCUCAGCAAAUUUAAUUGAGUUAGAAAUGAUUGAUUUCGAUGUAAUAAUGGGAAUGGACUGAUUGGCCUCAUGCUAUGCAAAUGUUCAAUGUCGAACUAAGAUGGCUAGGUUUUAGUUUCCUGGCGAACCUAUCAUUGAAUGGAAAGGGAACAUUACUACACCGAAAUGUAGGUUUAUUUCCUAUCUUAAGGCAAUGAAGAUGAUCUCAAAAGGUUAUAUUUAUCAUCUCGUUCCCAUUAGGGAUGUGGAAGGACCUGCUGGAUAAGGGCUUCAUUAGGCCUAGCAGUUCACCUUGGGGUGCUCUAGGUUUUUUCGUGUGGAAGAAAGAUGGUUGCUAAGGAUGUAUCAAUUAUCGACAGUUUAAUAAGUAUAAAGAACAAGUAUCCACUUCCAAAGAUUGACGACCUACUUGACCAUCUCCAGGGUGCCAAGUAUUUCUCCAAUAUUGACUUACAUUCAGGGUAUCAUCAGGUAAGGGUUAAGGAGAAGGAUAUUCCAAAGAUGGCCUUCCGGACAAGAUAUGGGCACUUUGAGUUCUUGGAGAUGUUGUACAGGCUAAAAAAAUGCCACCACAACCUUUAUGGAUCUCAUGAAUAGUGUAUUCAGGACUAUCUUAAUGUGUUCGUGAUCGUAUUCGUUGAUGAAAUUUUGGUGUGUUCUCGUUGGAGGCGGAACAUGCGAUCCACUUACAUAUAGUAUUACAAAUGAUUCAGGAUCGUAAGUUAUAUGUUAAGAUCUCCAAAUGUUAAUUCUGGUUGAACUCAGUAGCAUUCUUCGGCCAUGUGAUAUCUACAAAGGGUAUUAGUUUCGAUACUCAUAAGAUCGAUAUAGUGAAGAAUUGGCCUAGACCUACACCACCAUCAGAAGUCUACAGCUUCGUAAUGCUAGCAGAAUAUUAUAUGCAAUUUCUUGAGGGGUUUUCCUCUAUAUCAGCACCAUUGAUUAAGUUAACAUAGAAAGCUACCAAGUUCUAGUGGUUUGACGCUUAUGAAUGAAGUUUUCAGGAGCUAAAGAAUCGAUUGACAUCUGUGCUAAUGCUCACUCUCCUAGAAGGAACAAAAGUUUAUGUUGUAUAUUGUGAUGCCUUAGGUAUAGGUUUGGGGUAUGUAUUGGUGAAACAUGGUAAGAUGAUUGCGUAUGCAUCAAGACAAUUGAAGAAGCAUGAAAAGAGUUACUCGUCUCAUGAUUUGGAAUUGGCUACUGUAAUAUAUGCUUUGAAGAUAUGGCGGCACUAGUUAUACGGUGUCCAUGUUGAUAUCUACACAGAUCACAAGAGUUUAUAGUACAUAUUCAAGCAUAAGGAGUUCAAUUUUAGGCAAUGUAGGUGGCUUGAAUUACUAAAAGGUUAUAAUGACGAGAUAUUGUACCAUCCCGGUAAAGCUAAUGUUCUGGCAGACGCUCUCAGUUGUAAGUCAAUGGGAAGCUUAGUACAUACUGAGGUAGGUGGACAUAGUUUGACUAAAGAGCUUCAUCAGCUAGCCAAUAUGAGAAUCAGAUUGUUAGACUCUGAUGACGGUGGUGUUACUGUACAGAAUACAACAGAAUCAUCUUAGGUAGCUGGGGUAAAAGCACGGAAAUAUGAAUAUCCUACCUUAUUAAGAUUGAGAGAGAGCAUUCACCAGUGUAAAAUUAUGGCUUUUGAGAUUGGAGGAGAUGGGGUACUAAGAUACCAGGGCCGAUUAUGUGAGCCUAAUGUGGCAGGGUUGCAAAAGAAGAUUUUAUGAUUGAGAUUCAUUAAUAUCAAUAUUCGAUCCAUCCCAGCUUAACAAAGAUGUAUCAUGAUGUUAAGGAGAAGUAUUUGUGGGAUAACAUGAAAAAGUCAAUUGUAAAAUUUGUAGCCUAGUGUCCCAAAAUUUCAUCAAGUAAAGAUCUAGCAUCAGAAAUCCAGAGGGUUGAUUCAGAAUGUAGAGAUUCCGACUUGGAAAUGGGAGAUGAUUAAUAUGGACUUCUUAUUGGAUUACUUCACUUUUAUCAUAAGUUUGACUCUAUCUGGGUGAUAGUUGACCGACUUACAAACUGGGCCCAUUUUUUGCCAGUUAAGACAACGUACAUAGCUGAAGAUUAUACGAAGUUGUAUAUCAAGGGAAUUGUUAGGCUUCAUGGUGUACAGGUAUCUAUUAUAUCAUACUAAGGAGCUCAAUUUAUGGUUAACAUUUGGAGGUCUUUUCAGAAGGGUUUGGGGACACAAGUGAAUCUCAGCACUGCAUUCCAUCCACAUACUGACGGAUAGGUUGAACGUACUAUUCAGACACUUGAAGAUAUGGUAUGAGCAUAUGUUCUAGAUUUCAAAGGGAAUUGGGAUGACCAUCUUCCACUCAUAGAAUUUGCGUACAAUAAUAGCUACCAUUCUAAUUAAAAUGGUUCCAUACGCGGCACUGUACGAGAGCAAAUGUAGAUCACAGUUGAAUGGUUUGAGGCCGGUGAAACAGAGUUAUAUGGGCCAGAUUUGAUUCACCAAGCCAUUGAGAAGGUGAAAGUGACAUAAGAAUGGCAGAGGAUCGUACAAAGCAGGCAAAAGUCUUAUUCCGAUGUAUGACGUCGUGAUCUGGAGUUUGACGUUGGUGAUUGGGUUUUCAUGAGAAUCUCGCGGAUGAAAGGUGCUAUGCGUUUUGGGAAGGACGGUAAGUUGAGUCCAAGGUAUAUCGGGCCAUAUUAGAUUCUUCGACGAAUUGGACAGGUUUCUUAUGAGUUAGAAUUGCCAUCCGAAUUGGAAUUUGUCCACCUGGUAUUUCAUGUAUCUAUGUUGAGAAAAUGUAAUUGAGACCCUUCUCGAGUCGUCCCUAUCAAAGAUGUACAAGGUAAAGAGGAUCUAUCAUAUGAAGAAGUGCUAGUGGCUAUUAUAGAUCGAAAAGUGUGUGUGAGCUCGUGAUUUUUUCCCUGUAUGAAUUACUCCCCCAAAUUCAAAACAAAAUAUUUUUUCUCAUUGUUUGCAAUUUUGUGAAUUUUUUUGGCAUUUUCUGUCAAUUGUUUGCAUUUGUUUGUGCAUGUCUAUCUUAUUUAAUUAACAAAAAUACAAAAAAUAUGUUGCAUUUGCAUUUAGGAUUUAACUUUGCAUUUUAAGAAUUAAUUAGUAAUUAAGUCAUUUUAUAAAAAAGAAAAAUCACAAAAAUAGUUAUUUUGCACCUUUUAAUUUUAAUUUAAAUUUUGAUAGUUUUUAUUUAAUUUAUUAAUGGUGGUAAUUGUUUAGGAUUAGUUAAUAUUUUUGAUAUGUUAAUUUGGUUUUACAACGUAAUUUAGGAUUUUAGUUUUAAUUUUUGAAAUAACAGUAAGAAAAUAAAAAGAACUAAUUUGGAAGAAAAAAAGAAGAAUAGGGAAAUGAAAAGAUGGGUUUUUUCAGCUGAAAUUAAGUGAUUUAUCCCCAACCCACUUAAAUACCCGGUUACACCCGUUAAACCGAUCCCAAAACCCACUCCAGGACCCGGUCUCACCAUCAUUAAUCCAAACGACCCCGUUUAGGUUAGGGCACUUCGCCGUCUAGUUAUUUGAUCUAACUGCUUGGAAGUGGUUUGGUCUUGAUAUAUUAGUGUAUGAAUUAGCCCCCUCCCCUCCCCCCCCCUCCUUUCAUCGUCUCUCCCAAACCCACCCCUCUUCAGAUACCGCCCCAAAACCCUAGAUGCCAUCAUUCCCACCGCCUAGAAACCCGACGGUGCCACCUCCAAUCCCUCCCAAAAUCACAACCUAUAACCACCUCAUUCCCCUCAUCUCAAAUCCCCAUUCAGUUUAUUUCAAAUAACCCCAAAACCUCUCGAAUCUUAAAUUUAGGGUUCGAGUUCUAGAGGUUGAAGUCAGGUUCCUCCGUGCAAGGUCACCCCUCUAAGUUCCCUGAGUGUUCCAAGCUUGGUUUAUUUCGAAGUGAUGUUUUUCGUGAUUCUUGACAAAGAACAGACGAUUAUACCAUUUCGAGACUAAAUCAGAAUUAAUCGUUGGUUUCAAGUGUAAAUUGGUAAGUCUCUUUUCUUUCUUCGCAUUUUGGUCCAUCAUUCUGCUUCAUCUCUUCCGGGUUCUCUUUUUCUAUCUCUAUAUGUUAGGCGUGCCUUGAAUGGAAUCAAUUUUGAGCGCCCCCCCCCCCCCCCCCNNNNNNNNNNNNNNNNNNNNNNNNNNNNNNNNNNNNNNNNNNNNNNNNNNNNNNNNNNNCCCCCCCCCCAAGGACAAUUUCUUUGGUAUAUGUUUAUGUAUUUGAUUUUGUUCCAGCUCUUCAGUUUUCUUUCUUUUAGUCGACAUUCUCUGUUCUUUUACUUGAUUUUUUUUAGGCUAUGAAGUUCCCUGAUAAUUAGCUUAGGUAUACUUUUGUUGAAUUGUUAGUUUAAUUCUAAUUUCAAUCUAGUAUAUUGGUUUAAAGAAAAUAAAAAAGAAAAAUCAUCACCCGCAGCUUAGAUUACAUAUUCUAAAAUUAUUCAAACGUUUCCUUUUUCUGCUUUUCAUUAAUUUGGUUGGGUUGCUGACCCCUUUUGGUUUGGGCCUGACGAUUCAUGUGAUUAGUUCAUUUUAAACAUAUGGGUCACUGACCCAUGACCCAUGCCCAUAGGUUUCUAAGGUAAAUAACCAGGGCUUAAAGGGGUAAUUUGGGGUAAUUAGGUAGUGGAAUCUCCUUGUAGCUGAAAUAGAAGCUUCUAGAAAGCUGUGUUAGGGGGCAUCUCUUGAAUUCUGUUGUUAACUAAGGUUUGGUAAGCAAAAAGGAAAAUUGGCUAGGGACUUUUUAGCUUAAAAAAAAGGAAAGGGGUAAAAUUUGAACCUUGAGUGUUGCCCUACUUUCCUUCCCUUUAAAGGCACCGUUGCUUGAGAAGAAAGGCAGAGAUUAAGAGAUAGAAAUUUCUAAAAAAAUAACAAACGGCUGAAAUUUCAAGAAAAAUAUUGUUCCAUUGGAAUUUCUGCUUUGAACUUUGAAGUUUUGUUUCAUCUUCUGAACAAUAGCUGAUUCUAAUAAGGUAUAAAAUGGUUUAAAGUUGGGUAGUGAAAUAUUUGGUUUAAGUUGUUGGAUUUGUUUAUUUCUUCUGGUUUGAUUUCAUUGUUGAUUUUAGUUGAAUCUGGACUGGGGUUGUUCUGCUUCUAGUGCUGAUUUAUGCACUUGAUACUGCUGAUUCCUUACAUUUUCUUUUGCCUUUUCAUUCCCAGGUACAUGUCUCCUGAAACUCUAGAUAUUUUGGUGAAGCUUUGAGUUGAACAAUAAAAUGAGAAAGAAGGACUGUAAAGCAUAACUUCAGUUGUUUUCUGAUUCAAUCAUGUUUUACUUUAAAUUUUUUUCUUACUUGGCAUGUUGUACUGUUUAGUUGAUCUUUGUGUUAACUAGAUAAGUUUUUGGCAUGUUGUAUUUGAUUUGGGACUAUUAUAAGACUGAAGGGACAAUCUAUUAUCUGAGUUAAAGGUCAGUCCGUAUAUGCAAUCUUGAGGAUUUCUUUAAUGUAAAUGGUGG
RNAcentral lists this long non-coding RNA (13975 nucleotides) under Nicotiana benthamiana. Its description in RNAcentral is "long non-coding RNA (NBEN_LNC037175)". Lineage: Eukaryota; Viridiplantae; Streptophyta; Magnoliopsida; Solanales; Solanaceae. The record is from RNAcentral.